Molecule: long non-coding RNA, 127 nt
Organism: Haliotis rubra (blacklip abalone)
Lineage: Eukaryota; Metazoa; Mollusca; Gastropoda; Lepetellida; Haliotidae
Exons: 3
Source: RefSeq, a predicted model, not a curated record
GCUCUUCCAGAUCUGUAAUAUUGCUUCUUACAGGCCUUUAGUAAUAUAGCAGUCAUAACGCUAACUAUAAUGUCUCUCUGACAUUGCUGUAUUACUGCUGAUUACAUGCCUAUGAUAAUAUACCGUA